CGGGAAGCAGAGCAGACCGGGCGGCCCCCGCUGUCUGUCGCCUCGCACGCUUUCUAACCCCGCGUCGUCGCCCGACCCACGUGCUGCAUUUCUGAAGAGCUGCUGCGCGCCACACCUGCUCCUUAUUUUUUAUUAUUAAAACGCCGUGCUCCUUUUAAAGAAGCGGUGCGCGGAAAGAAAAAAAAAACAACGAAAAGAAAAAGCACUUCCUGGCGGAGUUUGGCAACGAACCCCGUGAAUUUCGUUGGGAUUUUGAACAGGUUUUCCCACACCCACUCACAGCAACUCUUAAAAGAAGAGCGCAUCCAGGUGUCCACAGGAUAUAUACACACUGUAAAAAAUCGCAAUCGUGCUUGCUGAUGCUGCAGCCAGAGGCACAAAGCCAGAAUCUUAAGGAUUUCUUACCGCUGCCAAAACUUCUAAUUAUGGAUCGCAUUUGAGUCCGUGGGACACACCAUGGUUUGGGGAGGGUCCCCUCUGGAAACUGAGAAGAUCCAUGCUACUUAAACUUUUGCACCAUGGAACCCCCGGUGCGUGGUUUCCCCAGUGCAGUCUAUGGGCGCUGAUGUGAUCUGAUAUGUGAUUCUUUCCCCCUAACAAUCCUUUCCAGUUACAGCUCAUGGAAAAAACACUGAGAUUUCAAGAACUGGCUAGUCCACUGAAGUAGUUCAGCACGUCCCACUUCCUACAUGGCGAGAAGUUCCAAGGCACUGGGCUGGGAUAACCCAGCCAGAUGGGCGGCAGAUAAAUAUCACCGUCAGCAGCAGCCUUCUUCAAUGAUUUACCCCACCCAGAACACUCAAAGAGCGUUCUAGUUCCCUCCCACCGCUACCUGUUCAGAAUCAUUAGUAGGCAACCUCCUCAGCAAAAUAAAUGUAUGCCCAAAAACUUAAGACUCUAAAGCUGCAGUGAAAUGAGAUAGCAUAAAGGCAUUUGGCCUUAACUGAUCCUUGUUCUAAUUAGACAUUGUUCAGUCAUGUACAUGAGGCCAAUGGAGGCCUGUCUUCGUAUGACUCUACAUGCUUCCCCCAAAACUCAAAUAUAUCCUCCUAAAUCUCAAGAUGUAACAGAGGUUGAUAAUCUGGUGUGAUGAAAUCUGCACAAGCAGAGAUGAUUACUUCACAUUUUAAGGACUUUGUCAUAAGUUGCAAAUACGUUUUGAUUGCAAUCAGUCUUUUUUAUUAAUUUUUGCCUGUUAAUUGGAAUAUUUCGUUCUUUUAAAGAAUAAAGUGUUUCAGAUAAUUAAUAGGUAAAUUGAUUUUCGGGCAAGCAAAAUGCAUGCAACCAGAAGCAAGUUAUCACAUUUGAGAAGUUUGUGUGUGGUUUCAUGUUUCUUUUGCAAUGGGUGUGUAGGUGUAAAUACAUGAUUUCAAAACUUUAUGCCAUCUGAAACUGUCCAUCAGUGCAAGACAGCUCCUAUCACAGCCAGCACUGGCAGGGCUGAUGGGAGUUGCACUACAGGUUCCCCAUCUCUGGUGUCACUAGUUGGAACAGAAGUGCUACCAGUAUUUCCUGUAAGUAAAACUAACCAGAGGUAUUAUAAUAGCCUAACAUCACUGCCGUUCCCAAAGUUGUUGAAUUAUUAUUUUUCUACCGCAUGAGUGCAAACUUUUAUAUUGACAUAGGCAAUGAGAAGAUUGCUGUGAAUAUUUAAGUGGCCGAAACCAUGAAUAUUACUAGUUUAAAGAGGAUCCAAGCAAGCCAUGUCCAAAGAAGAAAAAAGUUUAUUGCAAAUAAUGAUGUUCAGAUCAUUCUGAAAAUGAGUAGUGCCCUUGCCUUUGAACUAAUUGUCCAAAGAAAAUCUACAGUCCAUAUUUCUGUAUCAUCUCAUUUGCUUUAGAAAUGUAAGCCUUCAUGGCAUCUUCUUUUGACAUACCUGUAAAGGGGAAAAAAUCAGCUUUAUUACUAUGCCUUAUUUUUUAUUUUCCCAUGACAUUAUUUUGAAUCAGAAUAAUAAAGAGCUGUAAUAAAU
Podarcis muralis (Common wall lizard) is the source of this 1972-nucleotide non-coding RNA. The record is from RefSeq and is a predicted model, not a curated record. NCBI's taxonomy places the organism in Eukaryota, Metazoa, Chordata, Lepidosauria, Squamata, Lacertidae.